Molecule: ribosomal RNA, 253 nt
Filed under: uncultured bacterium
Lineage: Bacteria
Description: partial 16S ribosomal RNA
Rfam family: Bacterial small subunit ribosomal RNA
Source: RNAcentral
UACGUAGGGGGCAAGCGUUGUCCGGAAUUAUUGGGCGUAAAGAGCGCGUAGGCGGUCCGAUAAGUCGGCUGUGAAAGUCAAGGGCUCAACCCUUGGAAGCCGGCCGAUACUGUCGGACUAGAGUCCGGAAGAGGCGAGUGGAAUUCCCGGUGUAGCGGUGAAAUGCGCAGAUAUCGGGAGGAACACCUGUGGCGAAAGCGGCUCACUGGACCACUACUGACGCUGAUGCGCGAAAGCUAGGGGAGCAAACAGG